AGUCCACUGGAAAGUGGCGCCACAGAGGGUGACAGCCCCGUGAACCCCUUCAACGCCCUCAUCCCAGAUCUCCAAGAGUCGAGUUGUUUGGGAAUGCAGCUCUAAGUGGGUGGUAAAUUCCAUCUAAAGCUAAAUACCGGCGAGAGACCGAUAGCGAACAAGUACAGUGAUGGAAAGAUGAAAAGCACUUUGAAAAGAGAGUGAAAAAGUACGUGAAAUUGUUGAAAGGGAAGGGCUUGCAAGCAGACACUUAACUGGGCCAGCAUCGGGGCGGCGGGGAGCAAAACCACCGGGGAAUGUACCUUUCGAGGAUUAUAACCCCGGCCCUUACUCCCACACCACCCCGAGGCCUGCAAUCUAAGGAUGCUGGCGUAAUGGUUGCAAGUC
This 387-nucleotide ribosomal RNA is filed under the name Metschnikowia pulcherrima. RNAcentral describes it as "LSU rRNA". It matches the Rfam family "Eukaryotic large subunit ribosomal RNA", at positions 184 to 645 of the family's 3401-position model. Lineage: Eukaryota; Fungi; Ascomycota; Pichiomycetes; Serinales; Metschnikowiaceae. The record is from RNAcentral.